GACGAACGCUGGCGGCGUGCUUAACACAUGCAAGUCGAACGAUGAACUCCAGCUUGCUGGGGGGAUUAGUGGCGAACGGGUGAGUAACACGUGAGUAACCUGCCCUGGACUCUGGGAUAACCCCGAGAAAUCGGAGCUAAUACCGGAUAGGACCUGGAACCGCAUGGUUUUGGGUGGAAAGUUUUUCGGUCUGGGAUGGACUCGCGGCCUAUCAGCUUGUUGGUGAGGUAAUGGCUCACCAAGGCGUCGACGGGUAGCCGGCCUGAGAGGGUGACCGGCCACACUGGGACUGAGACACGGCCCAGACUCCUACGGGAGGCAG
Molecule: ribosomal RNA, 322 nt
Filed under: uncultured Actinomycetes bacterium
Lineage: Bacteria; Bacillati; Actinomycetota; Actinomycetes
Description: bacterial SSU rRNA
Rfam family: Bacterial small subunit ribosomal RNA
Source: RNAcentral